This 548-nucleotide unclassified non-coding RNA is filed under the name Clematis tashiroi. RNAcentral describes it as "contains ITS1, 5.8S rRNA and ITS2". The stretch from base 174 to 330 matches the Rfam family "5.8S ribosomal RNA". The record is from RNAcentral. Lineage: Eukaryota; Viridiplantae; Streptophyta; Magnoliopsida; Ranunculales; Ranunculaceae.
UCGAUACCUGCCCAGCAGAACGACCCGAGAACACGCGAAAACAACCACACGCAGGGACGCCCCGCCAACAGGCAGGACGGCUCCCCCUCCACUAAUCAAAAUCCGGCGCGACAAGCGUCAAGGAAAACUCUACGGAAACAAGGGGGCGACCCCAAGAAUCCGAACACUCAAACGACUCUCGGCAACGGAUAUCUCGGCUCUUGCAUCGAUGAAGAACGUAGCGAAAUGCGAUACUUGGUGUGAAUUGCAGAAUCCCGUGAACCAUCGAGUCUUUGAACGCAAGUUGCGCCCGAAGUCUUUCAGACCGAGGGCACGUCUGCCUGGGCGUCACACACAGCGUCGCCCCCCGCCAUCCCGUUGGCCGGGGGACGGAAACUGGCCCCCCGAGCCCCCACGGGCACGGUCGGCACAAAUGCUGGUCCUCGGCGGCGAGCGUCGCGGUCGGCGGUGGUUGUACCCUCACCCCCCGAAGACAGAAACGACGCGAACGCAUCGCCGCACGCAGGCACAACGAACCCAGAGAAGCUCCCGCCCGGAGACUUCAACCU